AAUACUAGAAAAUAAAGACCAAGUGUAACCAAUGAGAUAACCUAUAGUGGACCCCACGCUAUUACUAAAGUACCAAACCCCUUAGUUCACUUUCAUUUUUCUUUUCCUGCAUAAUCAGAAUACUCCCUUCUCUCAUCUCAUCUCUCUCGUUUAACAAAACAACAACACCCAACCAUCUCAAUCUCUCUAAACUUCCUCAUAAAACUCACAUGUAUGUAGUGUUUUAAAUUCUUCAAGCUCCAAUCUCACUAGUGGAAGUGGAAUUGAAGGCCAAAGCUCAAGAGGGAGCUGAAGCUCUCAUUUCAGAUCUGUAACCAAGUUUCAAGGCUAGGAUUAAGCUCCAUUUAUCAGAUAAGCAGAAAUCACAUGGUAAGCAGGCUAUGGAGUAGCUGCUGCAGCUGGAUGAAUUAUGUUUAUAUGCUUUUUUUUGUACUUCUAUCAUGUAUUUUGAUCAUGGCAUGUACUGUAUAAGACUUUGUUCUUAUGUCUGAACUUUUGUUUUAGCACCUGUGUGUGCCACCUUAAUUAUGUCAGGAAUUGUAAACUUAAUGUACCAAGUAUUAAUUAUGUACAAACCUGUUAUAUUCUAGAUAUUUAACUUGGGAUGUUA
This is a long non-coding RNA of Trifolium pratense (red clover), 610 nucleotides long. RefSeq lists it as uncharacterized. The transcript is spliced from 3 exons. Lineage: Eukaryota; Viridiplantae; Streptophyta; Magnoliopsida; Fabales; Fabaceae. The record is from RefSeq and is a predicted model, not a curated record.